Molecule: ribosomal RNA, 342 nt
Filed under: Triticum aestivum (bread wheat)
Lineage: Eukaryota; Viridiplantae; Streptophyta; Magnoliopsida; Poales; Poaceae
Description: partial small subunit ribosomal RNA
Source: RNAcentral
AUGGGCAAGGACACUAUUGCUGAUUUACUAACCUCUAUAAGAAAUGCGGACAUGAAUAAAAAAGGAACAGUUCAAGUAGUAUCUACAAAUAUUACCGAAAACAUUGUUAAAAUACUUCUACGAGAGGGUUUUAUUGAAAGUGUUCGGAAACAUCAGGAACAUAACAGAUAUUUCUUGGUUUCAACUUUGCGACAUCAAAAGAGAAAGACUAGAAAAGGAAUAUAUAGAACAAGAACCUUUUUAAAGCGUAUCAGCCGACCCGGCUUACGAAUUUAUACCAACUAUCAAGGAAUUCCUAAAGUUUUGGGUGGAAUGGGAAUUGCUAUUCUAAAACUUAGGUAA